GAGGGGGGGGGUGGAGACCCUCCCUCAGCAGAGGUGGACGAGUGCACCUGAGUGAGCCUUCCUGAGCACAGAGGGGUCUCCGCCCCGCGCAGGCCCCGUUAUGGCUGAAGUCUGAGGGCGCGUUGCUCCUCUGCCAGACCCACCGCAACACCUCCCUUGUCAGAAUAAAAUCACGGUCUUUACCCGGGGCCAGCAGGCCCGCUGUGAUCUGGCCCCCACCAUCUGCCAUCACCUCCUACAAGCGCUUUGCCCCACCAGCCACGCGGCCUCCAGGCUGUUCCCGCUGCCCUAGGGCCUGUGCACGGCGUUCCCUUGGCCGGGAACACACCGUCCCAUACACCGGCGGGCUGUUUCACCUCCCUCAGCCUUGCUCUGGUGUCACCUUCCCAGGAGGCCUUCCCCAACCACUCCAGCUGGAAAGGCAGGCCCACCCAGCGCUCCCCACCCCCUUUCUGUGCUCCUACCCUCACCUAAUUCUGGGAUACUGUGGUUUUUAUCAUUUUCCUGUCCACUAGGAUGCACAUUCCCAGAAGGCAGAGAUUUCUUUUUUCCCUCUCUACCUCGGUACUCACAAACGGUGCCUGGCAGACAACAGGUGCUCAGUAAAUAUUUGGCAAACGAGUGACCUGUGCCCCAUGAGUGUAAAUGUGGAUAGCUGUGGCCCCCGGCCACGGGGCAUAAUAAAGAGCUCCUUUUGGAGAUAGCUCCUGGGUGUCUCCCCCUAGAAAGGGGCAGACGCGGAUGACUCAGCCUGAAGGCGUGCUGAAGGCGUGCUGUUUGAUGAUUACAGGAAACAAAACAAAAGGUGAUUUGGAACACCAAGAAACAACUUGCAGAGGCCUGCUCCUUGAUGUCCGGGUGGCACUAGCUGGGACCAAAUGACACGCCCAGAAUCUGAUUGCCUCAAUAGACUGGUCGGACUUCAAGAACUUCACUCUUUACGGAGGCCGUCCUGGGGCGGGACUGAGACAGACCUUGAACCCCCAGCCCUCAACACGGCGGAGUGGAGCCCCAGGGGGAGACAGCCCUCAUCCUAGCCUACUGGGGCCUCUGGAGCCACCUUCAGUCAGCCCUUUCUGAGGACCUGCAUUACCGAGGAGCCCCAUCACCCCUGGGACCGUCUCAGCAUUCGGAAUUGAGUCCUCUCGGGUUUUGCCACGGUUUGGAAAGAGCAUUCGCUCCACAGGGCCGUGGGGGCCUGAAGAGUUGAGGUAAAGUUGCAGAAAGUGGGGAGAGCCCAGGUAGAGAGCCUGUCUCCCUCACCCCAGGCUUCCCACACUCACCUCCUCUGGGAAGCCUUCCCGGAUGCCCCUGUAUUCUCCGAACUUUCCUGGCAUCUUCCAUGGAGACUUCCUCCCUGCCCCCUCUGCUCGUCUGGGGCCUGCUCUUCCUAGUGGCCCUGAGGCCCGACCACACGCAGUGCAGGGAUGAGGAACACUGGUCUGCUUCUAUGGGGUUCCGGCCCCGCUGGGAAGGGAGCCUUGGACGUCAGGAACAGCAGAGAAAGGACCAAUGUGUAAAUCAAGCUGCUGUUUUCCAGGCCCUAUGCUAAAGCACGUUACGCACAUUCUCCAAUUUAACCCUCGUGUAACCUUCUAAAACUGCCAUGAUUAUCAUCAUGUUAUAGAUGAGGACACUAAGACACACAGACGUUAAGCUGCUGAGGUCACACGGGCAGCACAUGCCAGAGCCCUACUUUGAGCCCCAACGGGCCACCUGUCAGAGCCAUCAUCCACGUGUGUGGCUCAGGGGUGGAGGCAGGCGAGGGGUGGCUUCCUGGAGAAGGGGGGGGCAUGCGGGCGGGGACAGGGGGGUGGGUGUGGACUAACCCCUAGUUCCCGCGUUUGAGGGUGUGAUUGCAGGCUAAGGGUUUGGGGCAGAAUUAUGGCCCCCCAAAUGUCCAUGUCCUGACCCAACCUGUGAAUACGUUAACUCCCACGUCAAAAGGGACUUGGCCAAUUUGGUCAAGUUAAGGAUCUCAAGAUCAUCCCGGAUUAUCCGGGUGGUCCCAUGUGGUCCCAAGGGUCCUUAUAGGAGGGAGGCAGGAGGGUCCGAGUGAGGGGAGAUGUGACAAGAGACAAAAGUCAGAGAGAGAGCGGAAGCCGUCACACCACCGAUGGAGGAGAGGCCACGCGCCGAGGAACCCAAGUGGCUUCCGGGGAAGCUGGGAAAGGCAAGGAAAGGGGUUCCCUCUGGAGCCUCCAGGGGGAACACAGCUCGGCCAACGCCUUGACUUUCGCCCCACGGGCCCGCUCUGGACUGCUGGCUUCCAGCGCUGGGAGAGAACACGUGUGUGUUCCAACGGCAGCGGCCAGAGCAGACACGGGGCUCGGGACAGCACCGCCCUUCAGAAAGCCAGAUUCAGUCCUACCUUCCGUCUUCCGGGCCCUGUGAUGGGUCUCGGGGACACAGUGGCCAGGGGGACACCGCCCCGGGCCCGCUGAACUAGGGGCCCCUCGAGCCGAGCAGGUUAUCAGUAAGUGGCAGCCGACAGAGCCCGCUCCCAGGCUGCACGCAGGGCCUCUGUUUAUCGGAAAGGGGCUUAUCUGGAUGGUGGGGCCGGGCUCUGCAGGGGCGAGGCGGUGCCCACUGCUGCCCACACGCCCCACGGGGGGUCCUCACCGCGCCGAGUGGGGGUCUCCACGGGCCUGCGGGGAGGCAUGAGGGGUCAGCACCGGCGCCGACACACAAGUGCCCGAACACCGCCCGGCACGUCCGCGGCUACACUGGCCCUGAACUGGAAAUGACCCGCAGGCCAUCCGCAGGGUGGCUCGGGGGACGCCUUCUCGCUCGGUGAGGCACUAGAACGGCCCCGAAAACAUCUGCUAAUUCUCAUCAGGCUCACACCGAGCCAGAGAGCACCUCUUGCACGACCCCGCUCAUGCAGUGUUCACAAGGAGGAAACACCAAUCUGCGUGUUGGACGUCAGGUGGGGCUGCCCGGCCAGGCGUGACUCGGGGCGCUGGGCUUCGGGAGAACUGGUGACAGUCCGCUGAGCGGUGUACUCAUGGACAGUGUCUUUUCUGAGUGCGCGUUUUAUUGCGAUGCUCAUGCAAGAAAAAGGAAAAGAAAAGAAACACGUAGAAAAGCAAAGUAAGAAAAUAAAAAUCACCCAUAAUUUCAUCCUCUGGAGACAGGAGCUGUGCACGCCCUUCAGAUUUAGGUGCCUCGUGACCAGAUAUAUUUUAUCAGUUAGAAUCUUUGGUGGCCGGUGGCAGAAGCUGACUCCGGCUAUCUGUGUUAAUUAAAGCACACUUUGCUGGAUCGGGAAUAUUCCCAGACUGCCACAGCUUCACACAGUGCACAUUUAUUUCCUGCCGGGAGGCCCCACACAGCUGUUCCAGCAGGUGGAGGGUGUGGGGGCCGCCUGGUUUCACUCAGCCACCCAGACGCCCAGGCUGAAGGUGGUUCUGGGUCUCGGGUCCCCCGUCCUCACGCAGCCACGGGCAGAGGAAGACAGCUGGUGCAGGAGGGGUCUCCGGGCGUGGCGUCCAGACCAUCCCUUUGCUCUCCGUUAGCCGAAUUCGGACCCGUGGCCACCUGCCAGGAGGCUGAGGCUCCAGCUUUGAGGGCCAGCGUCCCUCAACGUGCCCUGGGAGCCACGGAGCGGGAGGCAUUAAAAGGACAGCCGUCUGUAGCCAGGGAGACCGGCCACCGCAGCUGCCAGGGACCCUUCCCAGGCUCUGGGCCCCUCCCGCAGGGUUCAGCGUCUCAGACGAGAGCACUGGUGGUCAAGCCCGAAUCCUACCACAUCCCUGGCCUUCCAGUAACCCCGGUGCAGGGGGGGAAGGCUCUGCCAGGGUCGCCCCACUCUCUCUCCAGGGAGAGACCACUCUCUGAAGGGCUACUGGGACAGGAGAUCGGUGUGGACACUCAAAUAACCGUCUUUCAUAUUGUGCACUUCCCUGCGCUGUGUUGCUGGGCCUGGACCCUGUCCUUUGGCCGGUCCCACUCCCUGGGCCUCCCCCCACCAUCCCAGAGGCCACAGCCGCCCCAGGGUUUCUACAGGAUGGAGGGACGUCAAGGCCAAUCCGGUCAGUGGAACUGCCCAGAGGCCUCAUGGAAAGUAGCCACAUGGAGUCCAAGGUGGCUCAGCUUGGGCCACGUGUCACCAAAGUUUCCGUGUUACGCCCCCACGUAAACAAGAAGACGUCCCCAGUCCUCCCGUUGCCACAACGGUGACCAGCCCACAGAAAGCAGCGGGAGGGGAAGGGAAGGAGGGCCACAAAGGCAGAAUUCACCUCUCGUUCCCAGUCUGGAGGGAAAUGCCGACUGAAGCCUUGAGCCGUGACUCCCUUCACAAGAUGUGACUCCAGUGGACAAGACCGGUGACAGCUGGUGUCGGGGAGGCCGCAGAGCCGCUGGAACUCCUGCACGCUCAUGGCGGGGCUGCGCGAUGGCCGCUGAACAAUUAUCCCGUGAGUGGCUGGUGUGAGCUCUUCUGUGACCCUGCGGCGCCCUCGCAGGCAUUUGCUGAUGAGCAGAGAAGCCCUGGGUUCACACGAAGAUUGCACGCGGCUUUGUUCUGACAGGGGGGAGCCGGGAACGAUGGCACGUCCCUCAUCAGGAUCAGGGACGAACAAACUGCCGUCUGCUCGCACAACAGAACACCUCUCGUCAAUGCAAAGGAACCACUGCCCCCCACACAGCCACGGACAGACCUCAGAAACACGGUGAGCAAAAGCAGCCGGGCCGAAGGGACGCAUUCGCGGGGGUCCACCAGACGUGGGCUCAAGGCAGGCAGACCCUCCCCGUGGGGUCGGAGCUCAGGAGGAGCAAACUCGUGGGCGAUGGAAAUGCUCUCCGUCUUGAUGUGGGUGGUGGUCACCUGGGUACAUGUGCCAGGGGUCAUCGAGCCGUCCGCUUGUGCUGUGCCUUUGACCGCAUGUGAUUUAUAUUCUAAUAAAGUACCGUGAAAAUCUGUGA
Long non-coding RNA from Felis catus (domestic cat), 4926 nucleotides. RefSeq lists it as uncharacterized. The transcript has 5 exons. NCBI's taxonomy places the organism in Eukaryota, Metazoa, Chordata, Mammalia, Carnivora, Felidae. The record is from RefSeq and is a predicted model, not a curated record.